UAAAUAUUGAUCUCUACUCAUGGUGUUCAUCGUAUAAUUGAAUUCAUGUUUUGUUGAAAUUCUUCAGAUCAUCAGAUCACGCCGCCGCCUUCCAUGAUCCAGUUCUGAUGCUCACGUGCCCAAUGUAGGUGCUUUAGACGGGGGUCAGGGGUCAGCACGGGCGCUCGGACCGGUCCGCAGCUACACGGCAAGCUGUGAUGCUCCGUGUGUUCUGACUCCUGGCUGUCAGCCAGCAUGAGCUUUCUCAGCAGUUGUGCUACAGUAGCUCUUCUGUGUGAUCGGACCGGACGGGCUAACCUUCACGUCCCACACACAUCAGUGAUCCCUGUGUGCCCAUGACCCUGUCUCCGGGUCCCCACUUCUCCUUCUGGGAGCGCUUUUGUGUUAUGGAGGUGGUGAUGAUGGUGAUGAUGAUGGGGAUGAUGAUGGACGAGCCGACGCCAUGUCACUCUUACAGUAACUCACUGCUGAUGUGAGCAAGUGCAGAUUCAGCCUUUAAUUAGUUUCUCUCCCCAGCUUGCGGGCAGCAAUGAUUCUCACCCUGCCGUUUGUCACGCUAAUAUACGAUCGGCUACAUAUCGCAGAUAUUAGGAUCAUGAACGUGAUGCAUGGCAGGACGCGGAACAUCACUGCACGGCGGAGUGAAGUGACGGCUGACGAGCGGAGCGGAGAUACAGCCGCACUGGCGUAUCAUAAUCCAUACACGAUCGACACGCCCCAUUUUGUGAAGCUCAACAACCUUCUGCUGCACAUCACAGCUAUAUUCCUCGCUCUUACCCAUUGUUAUGAAUGACUACGGGAAUUUGGUCUGUGUGUUACCUCAUAUUUAUUCCCCUGUGAAACAGGAAGUCCUGGUUGAACAAUUUCCUGUUCCUAGUCACCCAG
Long non-coding RNA from Ictalurus punctatus (channel catfish), 885 nucleotides. Lineage: Eukaryota; Metazoa; Chordata; Actinopteri; Siluriformes; Ictaluridae. The record is from Ensembl.